AACUACCUGGGCACAGGAAAAUGGUCUAAUCCAGUUGUGCAUCAAGUUAAUUGUAGCCAGUUGCAUUGCUUUUUGGUAGGUGCGAGGUGAUUCAGUGUGUUGCUGAAGUGAGAGAACGUGACAAAGCGAUGGAAAAACUUUAUCCUCUCCUCUUUCUGAGAGUUGAGUUUGACCGGUACAGGAGAUAUUUUGCACAGUUUGUGGGUUUUAUCUUAGAAAGGCAAACAGAACUGGAUCUUUUUUUGUUGACACUGCUAUUUAUAGAAAGCAGUCGUUACAGAGCUUUUCUUUCUGUCGUCUUGCAUGUUUGCAUUUGUAAUUUGAUUAAAAAAAUGAAAGCAAAAAUCUGCGUUAUUGACCGUUUUCCCUGCCCCCAGUGUGUAUGGCGAUGUGUUCAGUAACCUGGUGCUGAUCUACUCGUCCUUCGUUCUGUUUGGACUCAAGUCAGAGGACCUGGAUAUAAAGGUUUUUCUUGUGUGUGAUGUAGCAGACAUAGCCUGGUAUGUGUAUCAGAUCUGCCUACACACUCUGCUGAGCUCAGAGAGGAGUGUGUGGAGCUGGCUCGACCGAGACUGGUUCAGUGUGCUGCAGACAGAGGAGGAGAGCUGCUUGGUUUGUUUCCCGUGUAUUAACUCUAUGGUAGCCCAGCUCAUGCUGAGGAGAGCUCCUUCUCUGCAGUGGCUGCUGGAAGCUUCAUUCUCUGAGCUCAAGGACAGAUUCCCUGAGAUACCACACAAAGUCUGCAAGCUCUUCAGUGAUAUCACAGCUCUCCACAGACUCAGUGCUGCCCCCUCUCCAUCUGAGCCUGAAAACACAGCCCCACUGCAGUCUAAUGACAACCUUCACCCUCCUCAUCCUCCCCAUCCUCAGCUCCCUCACUGGGCUGUAAAUGGAGUCGAGCCUCAUUCAGACUCGCUCACUGACACACAGCUGUUCCUCACAUCCUCUUCCACUGAGUUGAGCAGCCCUGAGUCUGUCCAGCAGCAGAGCACUGUGGGUACAGGCUGGCGUGGGGCAGUGUGUGAAGCCUUUGUGAGUCAGUCAGAAUGUGUGUGUGACUCACACUCGCAGCCAUGGCCUGGAGGACACGCUCAGAAUGAGAGCUACACAGGCCUCUUUGAUGAAGGAGAGGAACAGUGGACAGUGGACGCUUCAUCUCUGUCAGCCCCAGAUCUCUCUUACUCACAUACACACACUGAGUGUCCUGCCCCAGCAGUCCUGUAUGGUCAGAAUUCACCUGUGGAAGAGAUGAAAAUACUGCCUCAGCAGCCAUGGAGAAACAAUGUGUGUGGAACAAGCAGCAGGGGGCAGCAGAGUGACACCUACAGCAUCUCACCUCCGUUCCAGCGGGGCACAGAGAGGAAGAGACCAGCAAGAGAUACUGCAGGAGAGACAGUGUUUCCACAGUGUAAGAGAGGGAGGCUUCUUUUUGAGAGAAUACCAGGACGGUGUGACGGACAAACGCGGCUCAGGUUUUCUGAACGCCUGCUUUAGUUUCAUCUCACACAUCCUGUCAUACAUUCUUCACACUGACAUGUUCGCUAUAACACCACCCUGAAGACCCUUUAUUUCACUUGUCAUAUACUGUUCCAUACACAGAGACACAAACCCACAGAGAACCCCCCCAAAUACGUACUCAGGAAGAUGUGUUUUCACUUACAAACCAACUGCAUAAUUUAUUUUUUCAUUGCAUUUAUUGAAUUAUAAUUAAAAAACAUAGCAUUCACACUUCACAUAUGGUGAAACCUGUUUUUUUUAGGAUGUUUGUUUAAGAACACCAAACAAUAUACCAGGAAAGUCAGCCUGUGGUCUAAAUUUACGGUUCACCAUAAAAGGCAAAGGCUUUCUCCUGUGACCUUUAACCCAAAGUGUGUGCUGUGAUGUUGGACUGAAUGUACACAGAAGCAGGUGUAAAACGUUUUCUCAUUAUAGAGCUAAAACAUUGUGUUGGAGACAGGGGUGGGCAUUUAAGUCACAGCAGCGAAGAUGUGUAAUGUGUAGUGUUUGGGCCAUAGAGGGCUGUUCGUAGAGAUGUGAUGUGGAAAUGAUUAAUUCAGUUACAGCUACAGAUGAUUAAGCUUUCACUUGGGUUUCAUUGCAUUUGUGACGCAAAUUUAGGGUGAUGAUUCUCCUGUAACUGUAAAAAUACCAGCUAAGCCAGGUUCACAAGAGUUCACUGAGUUGCACCCACUAGCUGGGUCUCCCCAAUUGCAUCAUGCUCCGAGGCUGGAAGGGUGAAGACUAGUUCAUGCUUCUUCUGAGACACGUGAAGAUCCACUGCACCUUUUCAAACUGCUGCUAACACAACAUCUCGGACAGCACAGCACACUUAGAGGAGAACGCUAACUGCUAAUUCUUUCAUGUCAGCUACCAGACGCCCACGUUGGCAAGCAUGCUCUCAGUAAUGUGGGCACAGUUAUACUGUCUUGGAUUAUAAUUGUAGUGUACGGCUGUGGCAUCGGCAGGGAUUGAACUCCCAACAGCAGGGCCAUGUAGACAUUGGUGCCACUCGGGAGCCCUUACUGAGUAUGUUCUUUUGUUGCUUUCAAUAAUCAAACUUAUUUUUUUAAUCAAACCAAACCUGAAUCAUAAAGCAGAACGGGGAAAUUACUGCAUGUGGUUGCCAUGCAGACCUAAAGCUUCUAUAUAAGCCACUCUGCCAUUAAAUUCCGCUUUAAUGACGUGUUAAUUGCGCUAGUUUGUGUCAUUAAAAACUGAUGGAGACCGUAAAUAUACAUCUCUGUGUGGAAGCUGAAGCAGACACCUCUCGCUUUUUCUGUCUUUCUUUCUGUUUCAUGGAGAUGGAUGGAGGAAAGGUAGCAGUUCAUUUGCACUGCAGGUUCCUUAUCAGUGUCGGGCAGAGACAGAGAGAGGGAAGAGAGGAGGAGGGAGAGAGGGAAAAAAGAGAGAGUGAGCGCUUAUCACAGAAAGCCAGCAGUCCUUCUUUAGGCCCUCACUGGAAUGAGCUGAGGGAAAAAAAACUCCUCCCGUGGGCAUUACACGCACACAUACUCCCUCUCUCUGGCUCUCUUCUUAAUCUCUCUCUCCCCCUCUCUGUCCUUCUAUCUCUCCCGGCUCAUAGCCAGCCUGCAUAAAUGACCCCCACCACUCAUCCAUUCAGGGUGCGUUUACUGUCCCUGCUAACGACCCUCCCUGAACAAAAGCCCCUAACGCGGCUCUGUAGGAUGGGGUAAGGGCAGAAAGGGCAGGCACAGGGGGCUAUUUUGUGGUGGUGCGGCUGCUUAGUGUGGUCUGGUAAAUAAACGCAGUCGUAAUGGUGUAAUAAUGGCCACGCCAUGCGCUCUCGCUCUUUUCUCUUUCUCUCUGUCUCCUUUACUUUCACAUGGAGGGAGGGAGAGUGUGAGAAACAUGCAUGCUGUUCAAAUCUGACCUUUUACGUUUUGCCUUUCUGCUCUGGUGCCAAAGCUAUUCAUUCUGCUCAAGACCCACCACAUACAAACAAACCCGCACAGUUAAGUCCUCAUCACUGGACACAGCUGGAGCAACUAACUGUUGUUCCCAUGAGUUAAAGCCAUGUUUCGGUUAGAAAUCAGGUUUACUCAGUGGUACCUUUCCUUAUGUAUUACUUUACGUAUUCAUAAUGUAAUCGAUGAGCCAUGUUUGGUGUCUGAAAUCAUCUUCUUUAGUUUUAAAUCAUCACAAAUUUGCCUCAAAUUGCGUGGAGUUAUCAAGCAAUCUCAAGUAAGUAGUUUCUGACCACUACAAACAUUCAAAAUGCAUUGUUAUGUAAGAUGAGUGGUUUGUAGGCUUUUUAAGGCAGUUAACAAUACGAAAGCUCUUUGGCUGCCAGAAGAGGACGGGU
Molecule: RNA transcript, 3823 nt
Organism: Colossoma macropomum (tambaqui)
Lineage: Eukaryota; Metazoa; Chordata; Actinopteri; Characiformes; Serrasalmidae
Exons: 8
Source: RefSeq, a predicted model, not a curated record